AACGCAUAUUGCACUCUCUGGUAUUCCGGGGAGUAUGCCUGUUUGAGGGUCAGUAAAUAAUAAUUAUCAUAAUCUUUUUGAUUGUGGAAUUGGGCCUUUAUUUCAUUAAUGAUUUAUGGCCUCAAAUUUACGUUACCGCUUGUUUAAUAUGAAAUUCGACCGAAUGGAGCAAUUAAACAUUCUCUCGUUAGGCGGAUUCAUCAAGCAAUUACGAUUUUUUGGCCGUCGAAGCACUUUUUUUAAAAGUGCUUGGUCAAGAUUGUAAGAUACAUUUAACAAUGACCUCAAAUCAGGCAAGAAUACCCGCUGAACUUAA
Molecule: unclassified non-coding RNA, 316 nt
Filed under: uncultured Entrophospora
Lineage: Eukaryota; Fungi; Glomeromycota; Glomeromycetes; Entrophosporales; Entrophosporaceae
Description: uncultured Claroideoglomus sequence contains ITS2
Rfam family: 5.8S ribosomal RNA (bases 1-52)
Source: RNAcentral